UGGGCCAGUGAUGAUGACUUGUAGCAGAUAAGUCUAUAUAGUGAAUAAUAUAUGUCCUGAUACUGAGGUCCAA
Small nucleolar RNA from Bison bison bison, 73 nucleotides. The record is from Ensembl. NCBI's taxonomy places the organism in Eukaryota, Metazoa, Chordata, Mammalia, Artiodactyla, Bovidae.